GUUUGAUCCUGGCUCAGGAUGAACGCUAGCUACAGGCUUAACACAUGCAAGUCGAGGGGUAGCAGGGUAGCAAUACCGCUGACGACCGGCGCACGGGUGAGUAACACGUAUCCAACCUACCAUUCACACGGGGAUAGCCUUUCGAAAGAAAGAUUAAUACCCGAUAGUAUAACGAUAAGGCAUCUUAUUGUUAUUAAAGAAUUUCGGUGUUUGAUGGGGAUGCGUUCCAUUAGAUUGUUGGUGAGGUAACGGCUCACCAAGUCUUCGAUGGAUAGGGGUUCUGAGAGGAAGGUCCCCCACAUUGGAACUGAGACACGGUCCAAACUCCUACGGGAGGCAGCAGUGAGGAAUAUUGGUCAAUGGACGAGAGUCUGAACCAGCCAAGUAGCGUGAAGGAUGAAGGCCCUAUGGGUCGUAAACUUCUUUUAUAGGGGAAUAAAGUGCGGAACGUGUUCCGCUUUGUAUGUACCCUACGAAUAAGGAUCGGCUAACUCCGUGCCAGCAGCCGCGGUAAUACGGAGGAUCCGAGCGUUAUCCGGAUUUAUUGGGUUUAAAGGGAGCGUAGGUGGAUAUAUAAGUCAGUUGUGAAAGUUUGCGGCUCAACCGUAAAAUNGCNGUUGAUACUGUAUGUCUUGAGUGUACAAGAGGUAGGCGGAAUUCGUGGUGUAG
Molecule: ribosomal RNA, 669 nt
Filed under: Bacteroides sp. CannelCatfish4
Lineage: Bacteria; Pseudomonadati; Bacteroidota; Bacteroidia; Bacteroidales; Bacteroidaceae
Description: bacterial SSU rRNA
Rfam family: Bacterial small subunit ribosomal RNA
Source: RNAcentral